This 243-nucleotide ribosomal RNA is filed under the name uncultured bacterium. Its description in RNAcentral is "partial 16S ribosomal RNA". It matches the Rfam family "Bacterial small subunit ribosomal RNA", at positions 57 to 305 of the family's 1533-position model. The record is from RNAcentral.
GCAAGUCGAGCGAGAAAGGUCUUCGGACUGAGUACAGCGGCGGACGGGUGAGUAACGCGUAGGAAUCUACCUGGUAGUGGGGGACAACAUGGGGAAACUCAUGCUAAUACCGCAUACGCCCUAUGGGGGAAAGCGGGGGAUCUUCGGACCUCGCGCUAUUGGAUGAGCCUGCGUAAGAUUAGCUAGUUGGUGGGGUAAAAGCUCACCAAGGCGACGAUCUUUAGCUGGUCUGAGAGGAUGAUC